This is a long non-coding RNA of Hemicordylus capensis (graceful crag lizard), 2395 nucleotides long. RefSeq lists it as uncharacterized. NCBI's taxonomy places the organism in Eukaryota, Metazoa, Chordata, Lepidosauria, Squamata, Cordylidae. The record is from RefSeq and is a predicted model, not a curated record. The transcript has 4 exons.
CUCUUGCAGCCAAGACUGAGAUAAAAGCUGUCUACUGCAGAGUUUUGGAGGGGAAAUUACAAUGUGUUGUGAUUGGUUACAGAGACAGAAGGUUCUAGCUGCCUGAGGGAAGAAACUCCCUGAUUGGUUAAUGUAUCCCUUUGGAACUGGAUAAAAGGGAAGGUUGAACAGCCAGGAGGAGGAAGGCUGUAGGCCUGUUCACGGAACCGGCUGGGCUGGUUUGGUUUGAUUGCAAACUGCACUUGAACCUGACCGGACCAGUUUAGCGCCCCCCUUUGAACCCCCCCAUUCAGUCCGGUCCGGGGGGGGGGGAGUUUGAUUCAUGAAUAUAUUUUAUUUUUUACCUCUAGCCCCUUCGGGGGCUUCCUAAAGGAUGCGGGGAGCGGGGGCCUCGCAGAGGCCAUUUGCACAUGCAUGCUGGCAGAGAAAAUGGCUGCCACGCCGGUAUAUGGAGGCUCGGACGGGCCAGAAAGUGCGACUGAACAGGCCAUGGUGGUGAUUACCAAGGCUGGCGGGGGGAGGGGCAACCUUCAUGGACCCCCGCUUGCCUUUAGGAAGCCCACCCCCCUGAAGGGGUUAGAGGUAACAAAAAAAAAUUUUUUUUAGCGUGGACGCGAAGCCCCCUGAACCAUCGGGGGGCGGGGUUUAGUCCGAGGUCGGACUGAACUGGGGAUGGAUUGGUUUGAUGCCAAAUGGUUGAAUCGAACCCUCGAACAGGUUCGGGGGCAAACCUGUUUGCACAUCCCUAGAGGGCUGUGGGAGGAGAGUUCUGUGUGGGAGUGAGCACUGCUGAGUGUUGUGUGAAAUGGAAGACGGGAACACCAGCAGGGUUGGGUUGGGCUGAAACUGCAAGGAAAAGUAGCAGUGAGGGAUCUGGUCCUACUGGAACCUGCUGGGCCUUGGUGAUCACCCUUGCACUGACUGACUGUAUAAGCUAGUUGGCAAAAGGAACUUUAUAGGUGUGAAGAAAUGUCUGAAAAAGUCCAAACAUUGAGAGUAUGAAUACCUAAUGAGAUAAGCAUGUUUCAUCAAGGGGUGAGGCAUGGAGUGUAUAGCAAUAAAAGGAGCAUAUCUAGGCUAAGUAGCAAUAAUCGUCUGGGAGCACUGAUUGCAGAAAGCUGGAAGUAGCCUGUGCACUGCUGAAAGAUUACUUAAAACUAAUUAAUUAAAACUGGCCAUAAAAUGACUCAUAAGCUGGUAGGAACGAGACUAAGGGGUGCCAAAGUUCAAACAUAAGCCCAGAGGGGUUUUGUCAGGCUCCCCUAUGGGUCCAAAUGUAGCCCACCACAGCCUCUCCAUAUUUCAUUAAGUCUCAGGUGGAAUAUAUGUUUUGAAGUUCAAAGUUGUGGGAAAGUGCCCCUGGCACUUUCUGAUUGGGGAGUUUGGCCUCUGCAGUCUUUCAUCUCCUCUCAGCUAGACUCUCAGGAAGAGUUGGGGCUGUUGUGUACACUCACCAAAACGAAGAUUCACAGGUACUGAACUCCUGGCCAGGGAGUAGGAAUGACAAAGAACAGCAGCUCUAGCUGGUGGCAGCCGUGGUGAGGAUCUUCUGAGGAGGCUCUGCUCCAUGGACCAAUGCCAACUGCUCACUGAGGGAUGCACAUCAGAGGCUUCUCUUGCUGACUGUAGCUUGCAGGGAGGUUCCUAUGGGAAGAGAUGAUCCUUCAUAAUCCCAUGGUCCAAUUCAUUUCGGCUUUAAAGAUAAUCUCUUGGGCUGAACUUCUUUACCACCAGAGCACACUCUGCUGUAUGAGGAUUUUAAUGUUUCUCCUCACACCCCUCAACAGGGCUAUGGGCCCAGAGCUCUGAGACUGGUGAGGAAAGAAAGCAGCUUGAAUAAGAAAACAAGGUUUUAUCAAAGAUGGAGACAAGACAGAGGACUGAGAAGUUACGAAGUCCAGAUUUUAAGCUGUGGUCUUUCAAAAUGGAGAUGCUCGUAAAAAGCCACAGAAUCAACAGGGUCUUACACACAGAGCACCCUGUCAGAGAAGGAGAAGAAAGACAAGCCUAGGACAGUGCAAAUGGUAAAGCCACUCGGAUAAUUUGUUUAUUGGGGCAUGACUCUAUAUUGGUGCAUUUAAGAAAACCAACAACAUGCAAAGGACAUGUGGGACACUCUGAAGAAAUUGUAUGAAAGAAAGUCAGCUGUCUCCAAGGUGCAUCAAGUUAUAGAGAUGUGUAAUCAGAAACUAAAGGAUGGGGAGGAUCUGUCAAAACAUGUACAUAAGCUGUUGGAGACUUAACAACAGCUGUAAGCACAGGGAGUAAUUUUGCCUGAUAAGGUUGAGACUGGAUUGUUACUGAGUAGUCUUCCUGAAUAUUUUGAACCUAUUGUAAAUGUGUUAGAAGCCAAAGAUGAUUUGUUUGGAGUUUGUAAUAAACCGCUUGGAACCGU